Small nucleolar RNA from Anoplopoma fimbria (sablefish), 139 nucleotides. The record is from RefSeq and is a predicted model, not a curated record. NCBI's taxonomy places the organism in Eukaryota, Metazoa, Chordata, Actinopteri, Perciformes, Anoplopomatidae.
ACCGGCUCCUAUCGAAGCCGUUCAUGCUCUUCUGUAGCAGUGAACGGUCAACAGGCAGCCCAGAGGAUGACUUUCACCGACGGUCGCUGUUCAGUUUAAAUGAAUAAUUGUUACAGCAACAUUAAGGGGAAGGACAUUU